GGUGUUUACUGUCGAACUGAACACUCUACCGUUUACUGUCUGGUGGUGCUCUUCACCGAGUGUCACCAGUGGUCGGUACGUUUACUUUGAAAAAAUUAGAGUGCUCAAAGCGGUUUUUACACGACCGAUACUGUUGCAUGGAAUAAUGAAAUAGGACUUUGGUUCUAUUUUGUUGGUCUUCGGAACCCAGGGUAAUGAUAGAGGGACAGACGGGGGCAUUAGUAUUGCGACGCUAGAGGUGAAAUUCUUGGACCGUCGCAAGACUAACUAAAGCGAAAGCAUUUGCCAAGAAUGUUUUCAUUAAUCAAGAACGAAAGUUAGAGGUUCGAAGGCGAUCAGAUACCGCCCUAGUUCUAACCAUAAACGAUGCCAACCAGCAAUCAGCCUGUGUUCUCUUGAUGACACGGCUGGCGGCUUCCGGGAAACCAAAGUCUUUCGGUUCCAGGGGAAGUAUGGUUGUAAAGCUGAAACUUAAAGGAAUUGACGGAAGGGCACCACCAGGAGUGGAGCCUGCGGCUUAAUUUGACUCAACACGGGGAAACUCACCCGGCCCGGACACUGUGAGGAUUGACAGGUUGAAGCCCUUUCUUGAUUCAGUGGGUGGUGGUGCAUGGCCGUUCUUAGUUGGUGGAGUGAUUUGUCUGGUUAAUUCCGAUAACGAACGAGACUCUAGCCUACUAAUUAGACCGUGGCGUCCUCGUGCCGCCACGGCGCUUCCUAGAGGGACAGACGG
RNAcentral lists this ribosomal RNA (733 nucleotides) under uncultured eukaryote. Its description in RNAcentral is "SSU rRNA". It matches the Rfam family "Eukaryotic small subunit ribosomal RNA", at positions 671 to 1426 of the family's 1831-position model. The record is from RNAcentral.